CUGAAAUGGAAAAAUCAAUUAAAAGUAUUGAUUAUUUCUUUGUGUAUCUGCCCCUGGCCAAAUCAAUGAAACAGUGCGUGCACGCUCCCUGAAGUAAUUCACACCAGACACAGGUUCCAGGUUGUUGAAUAACUUGAGGAAUGUUUAUUCAGAGGGGACGGCAAGUCCCUUUUAAAGCAAAAUUACAUCAUAAGCAUUGUCAGAGAUAACAUGGAAUAAUACAUCAAUUAUUGGUUAGGUGUUAAGUGGUUGCUCUAAUGCUCUGCCUACUGUAGGUGAUGUCACCGGGACCAUGAGGGUCUCCCACGGUUUCCCGGCGCCAUCUUGGUGCACGAGGUAGUUAGUCGAUGUUAGGAAGGAGAAAGGGAAGGGAGGGGGAAAAGGAGCAAGAAGCUUCUAGCAGCCAUCUUAAUUAUAACGUGUGUGCUUAACUAUAUAUAUAUAUAUCGUGAAAUGAGUAAAUAGACAUUUUUCACUAACUAGGAAAUAUGUGUAGACCUUAUUUCCACAACAGUCCCCCCUAAAAUGGCUAUUUACCAUAACAACUGUUACUGUCCCUAAUAUGUCCCUAGUUGCCUGCAACCUAUCUGUCUUAACUAGCAUCGAACACUUCACUCCGCGGGUAACCCGCAGUGGCUAGUCCACUACAUCUCCACACGUGAGACUCGCCAGUUAAGACAGACGCUUUCCCUAUACUGUCCCUACA
This is a non-coding RNA of Pelobates cultripes (western spadefoot toad), 706 nucleotides long. The record is from the annotation of a GenBank genome assembly. NCBI's taxonomy places the organism in Eukaryota, Metazoa, Chordata, Amphibia, Anura, Pelobatidae.